AACGAACGCUGGCGGCAGGCUUAACACAUGCAAGUCGAACGCAUCGCAAGAUGAGUGGCAGACGGGUGAGUAACGCGUGGGAAUCUACCCUUUUCUACGGACUAACGCAUGGAAACGUGUGCUAAUAUCGUAUACGCCCGGAGACUGGGAAAGAUUUAUCGGUGUAGGCUGAGACCGCGUUGGAUUAGCUAGUGGGUGGGGGAAAGGCCUACCAAGGCCACGAGCCAUGGCUGGUCUGAGAGGAUGAUCAGCCACAUUGGGACUGAGACACGGCCCAAACUCCUACGUGAGGCAGCAGUGGGGAAUAUUGGACAAUGGGCGCAAGCCUGAUCCAGCCAUGCCGCGUGAGUGAUGAAGGCCCUAGGGUUGUAAAGCUCUUUCACCUUUGAAGAUAAUGACGGUAACCGGAGAAGAAGCCCCGGCUAACUUCGUGCCAGCCGCCGCAGUAA
RNAcentral lists this ribosomal RNA (449 nucleotides) under uncultured bacterium. RNAcentral describes it as "partial 16S ribosomal RNA". It matches the Rfam family "Bacterial small subunit ribosomal RNA", at positions 29 to 523 of the family's 1533-position model. The record is from RNAcentral.